CCUACGGAGGCAGCAGUGGGGAAUCUUGCGCAAUGGGCGAAAGCCUGACGCAGCAACGCCGCGUGCGGGAAGAAGGCUUUCGGGCUGUAAACCGCUUUCAGCAGGAACGAAAAUGACGGUACCUGCAGAAGAAGGAGCGGCCAACUAUGUGCCAGCAGCCGCGGUGAUACAUAGGCUUCAAGCGUUGUCCGGAUUUAUUGGGCGUAAAGAGUUCGUAGGCGGUCGAGUAAGUCGGGUGUGAAAAUUCUGGGCUCAACCCAGAGACGCCACCCGAUACUGCUUGACUUGAGUUCGAUAGGGGAGUGGGGAAUUCCUAGUGUAGCGGUGAAAUGCGCAGAUAUUAGGAGGAACACCGGUGGCGAAGGCGCCACUCUGGAUCGAUACUGACGCUGAGGAACGAAAGCAUGGGUAGCAAACAGGAUUAGAUACCCUGGUAGUCCAUGCCGUAAACGGUGGGCACUAGGUGUGGGUUUCUAUUAACGAAAUCCGCGCCGUCGCUAACGCAUUAAGUGCCCCGCCUGGGGAGUACGGUCGCAAGACUAAAACUUAAAUGAAUUGACGG
Molecule: ribosomal RNA, 562 nt
Filed under: uncultured bacterium
Lineage: Bacteria
Description: bacterial SSU rRNA
Rfam family: Bacterial small subunit ribosomal RNA
Source: RNAcentral